AGCCAUCAUUUAAAGAAAGCGUAAUAGCUCACUGGUCGAGUCGGCCUGCGCGGAAGAUUUAACGGGGCUAAGCUAUACACCGAAGCUGCGGCAAUGUGCUUUGCACAUUGGGUAGGGGAGCGUUCUGUAAGCCGUUGAAGGUGCAUUGUAAAGUGUGCUGGAGGUAUCAGAAGUGCGAAUGCUGACAUGAGUAACGACAAAGGGAGUGAAAACUCCCUCGCCGGAAGACCAAGGGUUCCUGUCCAACGUUAAUCGGGGCAGGGUGAGUCGACCCCUAAGGCGAGGCCGAAAGGCGUAGUCGAUGGGAAACGGGUUAAUAUUCCCGUACUUCUUACUAUUGCGAUGGGGGGACGGAGAAGGCUAGGUGAGCCUGGCGACGGUUGUCCAGGUCCAAGUACGUAGGUGGAUGAAUUAGGCAAAUCCGGUUCAUCAUUAACACUGAGAUACGAUGUCGAGCUACUACGGUAGCGAAGUCAUUGAUGCCAUGCUUCCGGGAAAAGCCUCUAAGCUUCAGAUAGUAAGAAAUCGUACCCCAAACCGACACAGGUGGUCGAGUAGAGAAUACCAAGGCGCUUGAGAGAACUCGGGUGAAGGAACUAGGCAAAAUGGUACCGUAACUUCGGGAGAAGGUACGCUCUUAAUGGUGAAGUCCCUCGCGGAUGGAGCUGUCGAGAGUCGCAGAUACCAGGUGGCUGCAACUGUUUAUUAAAAACACAGCACUGUGCAAAAUCGAAAGAUGACGUAUACGGUGUGACGCCUGCCCGGUGCCGGAAGGUUAAUUGAUGGGGUUAGACGUAAGUCGAAGCUCUUGAUCGAAGCCCCGGUAAACGGCGGCCGUAACUAUAACGGUCCUAAGGUAGCGAAAUUCCUUGUCGGGUAAGUUCCGACCUGCACGAAUGGCGUAAUGAUGGCCACGCUGUCUCCACCCGAGACUCAGUGAAAUUGAAAUCGCUGUGAAGAUGCAGCGUACCCGCGGCUAGACGGAAAGACCCCGUGAACCUUUACUACAGCUUGGCACUGAACAUUGACCCUACAUGUGUAGGAUAGGUGGGAGACUUUGAAACGCAGACGCCAGUUUGCGUGGAGUCGUCCUUGAAAUACCACCCUUGUAGUGUUGAUGUUCUAACUUGGCCCCAUUAUCUGGGGUGAGGACAGUGCCUGGUGGGUAGUUUGACUGGGCGGUCUCCUCCCAAAGAGUAACGGAGGAGCACGAAGGUGGGCUAAUCACGGUCGGACAUCGUGAGGUUAGUGCAAUGGCAUAAGCCCGCUUAACUGCGAGAAUGACGGUUCGAGCAGGUGCGAAAGCAGGUCAUAGUGAUCCGGUGGUUCUGUAUGGAAGGGCCAUCGCUCAACGGAUAAAAGGUACUCCGGGGAUAACAGGCUGAUACCGCCCAAGAGUUCAUAUCGACGGCGGUGUUUGGCACCUCGAUGUCGGCUCAUCACAUCCUGGGGCUGAAGUCGGUCCCAAGGGUAUGGCUGUUCGCCAUUUAAAGUGGUACGCGAGCUGGGUUUAGAACGUCGUGAGACAGUUCGGUCCCUAUCUGCCGUGGGCGUUGGAUGAUUGAGAGGGGCUGCUCCUAGUACGAGAGGACCGGAGUGGACGAACCUCUGGUGUUCGGGUUGUGUCGCCAGACGCAUUGCCCGGUAGCUAAGUUCGGAAUCGAUAACCGCUGAAAGCAUCUAAGCGGGAAGCGAGCCUCAAGAUGAGUCAUCCCUGAUACUUUAAGUAUCCUAAAGGGUUGUUGGAGACUACGACGUAGAUAGGCAGGGUGUGUAAGCGCUGUGAGGCGUUGAGCUAACCUGUACUAAUUGCCCGUGAGGCUUAACCAU
Molecule: ribosomal RNA, 1830 nt
Filed under: Photobacterium damselae subsp. piscicida
Lineage: Bacteria; Pseudomonadati; Pseudomonadota; Gammaproteobacteria; Vibrionales; Vibrionaceae
Description: partial 23S ribosomal RNA
Rfam family: Bacterial large subunit ribosomal RNA
Source: RNAcentral